UUUUUGACUGAGAAUACUGAUUUCACUGUGAUUGGGGUGAUUGGGCCAUCUGGAGCUGGAAAAUCAACUAUUAUGAACGAAAUUUAUGGUUUUGAUUCAACUUCACCUGGGAUGCUACCACCUUUUUCCACACAGUCUGAAGAGACCAGAGCCAUGGCAAGGCAUUGUUCUACUGGCAUUGAACCUAGGGCAUCUUCUGAACGUAUUGUUCUUCUUGAUACUCAAGUAUGCACCCAUGAUAUCUUAGUUCGUAGCUUGAAUUGUUGUGUUCUGGUUUAUGCUUUUUGUUUUGCAUUUGUAGCCUGUGUUUAGUGCUUCGAUUUUAGCUAAGAUGAUGAGACCGGAUGGCUCUUCGACGAUUUCAGUGAUAACUGGAGAAUCACUGUCAGCUGAAUUGGCUCAUGAGAUUAUGAAUAUUCAGGAAUCUUUAUAGCUUGUUGUUCUACUUGCAUCUAUAUGCCAUGUUGUGCUGGUGGUGUCAGAUGGAGUGCAUGAUGAUAGUAUGUGGCAUUUGAUGUUGACG
Molecule: long non-coding RNA, 523 nt
Organism: Arachis duranensis
Lineage: Eukaryota; Viridiplantae; Streptophyta; Magnoliopsida; Fabales; Fabaceae
Exons: 3
Source: RefSeq, a predicted model, not a curated record